GAGGAAUAUUGGUCAAUGGACGGAAGUCUGAACCAGCCAAGUAGCGUGCAGGAUGACGGCCCUAUGGGUUGUAAACUGCUUUUGUAUGGGGAUAAAGUUAGGGACGUGUCCCUAUUUGCAGGUACCAUACGAAUAAGGACCGGCUAAUUCCGUGCCAGCAGCCGCGGUAAUACGGAAGGUCCAGGCGUUAUCCGGAUUUAUUGGGUUUAAAGGGAGCGUAGGCAGGAGAUUAAGUGUGUUGUGAAAUGUAGACGCUCAACGUCUGAAUUGCAGCGCAUACUGGUUUCCUUGAGUACGCACAACGUUGGCGGAAUUCGUCGUGUAGCGGUGAAAUGCUUAGAUAUGACGAAGAACUCCGAUUGCGAAGGCAGCUGACGGGAGCGCAACUGACGCUUAAGCUCGAAGGUGCGGGUAUCAAACAGGAUUAGAUACCCUGGUAGUCCGCACAGUAAACGAUGGAUGCCCGCUGUUGGUACCUGGUAUCAGCGGCUAAGCGAAAGCAUUAAGCAUCCCACCUGGGGAGUACGCCGGCAACGGUG
This 539-nucleotide ribosomal RNA is filed under the name uncultured bacterium. Its description in RNAcentral is "bacterial SSU rRNA". It matches the Rfam family "Bacterial small subunit ribosomal RNA", at positions 356 to 896 of the family's 1533-position model. The record is from RNAcentral.